RNA transcript from Triticum aestivum (bread wheat), 1773 nucleotides. RefSeq lists it as uncharacterized. The transcript has 5 exons. The record is from RefSeq and is a predicted model, not a curated record. NCBI's taxonomy places the organism in Eukaryota, Viridiplantae, Streptophyta, Magnoliopsida, Poales, Poaceae.
ACUGGUAAGGAGGGAGUACGCAGGAGAGGUCACCGGGGCCGCUUUAGCGUGGUGCCGCGCGGGUUCUGUCGCUUUUGCUUCACCGUUGGCCUAGCUGCGGAUGGACACUGAGGGAAUGGAAUUCCUACUGGAUGUGGUCGACAGGUUCCCAGUGCGGGAGGAGUAUGCAGAUAAUGUUGACCAUCCGGAUCCAGUCUUGCUCAUGUACCUUUUGGAUAAGGGGGCUGCGAGUCCGGAGAUUGGUCAGGCAGACGUUGAUUCUGGGGUAGCUGAGAUGGUGUGCGGAGGUGUGCUAACUGACGCUGAAGUAGGUGCCCCCCGUAGACGUGAUGAAUCUCCGACGAGGUCUGCCCAAUCAUCGGGCAGAGUCAAUCCACAGGCCCCGACUGGACUAAGAGGGGAAACCAGACGCUGAAAACAGCAGGUCCUGCAGGUGCAAGUGCCCAGCUCUGAUCAGGCUGCUAUGUGCAUCAGACAACAGUUGGUACAUAACAGAGCACCAGGCGAGCCACAAUCAUUCGAUGUCGCUUACAAUGGGAGAGAAAGUGCAUUGGCCGUCUCAUAAACACAUAGACGUGUAUACCAAGGAUUUGAUAAGAUAGUUGAGGGAGAACUACAUCAACCUUGGCAAGGUAUACAACAUAAUUGGAAUCUUCUUUGGUUCAGUUGAGAAGGUGCCCUUCACGAAAAGGACACUCAGGAACAUUUGUGGGAAGAUUAGUCGUGAACAGGCUGAAGAUGAAUUACGGAAGACACUGCAGGUGUUUGCCGACAUCUGGUCGAGUGACCCUGGUUUCUCCUAUGUGGUGCUCGCCGAGAAAGACAGCAAGGUGAAGAAUCUCAUGUGGGCUAAUGGGAGCAGACGGAUGCAGUACAGGUUCUUUGGCGACGUGGUCACAUUCGACACCACAUACAGGACAAAUUUGUACGACAUGCCAUUAUGUUUAUUUGUCGGAGUUAACAAUCACUACCAGAGUAUCAUCCUGGCUGGCGUGCUGAUGCGUGACGAGCAAGAAGAGAGCUUUGAAUGGGUGUUUUCAGAAUUCAUUCGCAUGAUGAGCGGACCUGCACCUAAAACAAUACUAACAGGGCUAUGGAGGUUGCAAUCAAGAAAAUUUAUCCGAACACUGUCCACCGUUUGUGCAAGUGGCAUGUUCUGAAAAAGGCGAAAGAAACACUAGGGUGGCUUUACACAAAAAAAUGUGAUUUUCAAGCUGAAUUUCACAAAGUUGUUAACCACAUGCUAACUGAGGAAGAAUUUGAAUCAGCCUGGGAUGCGCUGCUUGAUAAAUACAAUUUGAGGGGGCAUAACUAUAUGACCCAACUAUAUGAGACAAGACAUAAAUGGGCGAAACCAUAUUUCAGAGGUGUGUUUUGUGCGAAAAUGACGAGUACACAGAGGAGUGAGAGUGCAAACCACAUGCUGAAAACGGACAUGCCCCCUGCAAGCCCAAUGCAUGUUUUCGUCUGACAAUACAUGAGACUUCAAUUUGACCGGAAGCGCGAUGAAAGCUAUGAGGAAAAGAGGACAAUGAUUGGCGGCGUCGUGCGGCGGACUAACCUUGCGAUAGAGCGCCAUGCCAGCAAAAUAUAUACUAGGAAUAUGUUUGAGAAAUUUGGCCGCCUACUGGUAGAAGGAACCGCAGAGUUGUGCUGUCCUUAUUUGAAACGACGCAGAGUUGUGUCGUUGAGCACAUGUAAGGUUAUAUGCUUUUCUGAACAAUUUGUUAGCUAAACUGAAUUUUACUCCUAGCUGUAUGAUAUGACUGUAUA